This 1093-nucleotide ribosomal RNA is filed under the name uncultured bacterium. RNAcentral's name for it is "bacterial SSU rRNA". It matches the Rfam family "Bacterial small subunit ribosomal RNA", at positions 8 to 1101 of the family's 1533-position model. The record is from RNAcentral.
AGAGUUUGAUCCUGGCUCAGGAUGAACGCUAGCGGCAGGCUUAACACAUGCAAGUCGAGGGGCAGCGUGGAGCAGCAAUGCUCUGACGGCGACCGGCGGAAGGGUGCGUAACACGUGAGCGACUUGCCCGUCACAGGGGGAUAACCGGCGGAAACGGCGACUAAUACCCCAUAUGAUGUGAUGCUGCAUGGCAUUGCAUUGAAAGAUUCAUCGGUGGCGGAUAGGCUCGCGGGACAUUAGCUAGACGGCGGGGCAACGGCCCACCGUGGCGACGAUGUCUAGGGGUUCUGAGAGGAAGACCCCCCACACUGGGACUGAGACACGGCCCAGACUCCUACGGGAGGCAGCAGUGAGGAAUAUUGGUCAAUGGGCGGAAGCCUGAACCAGCCAUGCCGCGUGAAGGACUAAGGCCCUACGGGUCGUAAACUUCUUUAGACGCAGAGCAAUAAGGUCCACGUGUGGACCGAUGAGAGUAUGCGUAGAAUAAGCAUCGGCUAACUCCGUGCCAGCAGCCGCGGUAAUACGGGGGAUGCGAGCGUUAUCCGGAUUCAUUGGGUUUAAAGGGUGCGUAGGCGGCCGAGUAAGUCAGCGGUGAAAGACCGGGGCUCAACCCUGGAAGUGCCGUUGAUACUGUUUGGCUGGAAUGAUCCCGCCGCGGGAGGAAUGAGUGGUGUAGCGGUGAAAUGCAUAGAUAUCACUCAGAACACCGAUUGCGAAGGCACCUCGCGAGGGGUCAAUUGACGCUGAGGCACGAAAGCGUGGGGAUCGAACAGGAUUAGAUACCCUGGUAGUCCACGCAGUAAACGAUGAUGGCUAACUGUCGGGCCUACGGGUUCGGCGGCCAAGCGAAAGCGAUAAGCCAUCCACCUGGGGAGUACGACCGCAAGGUUGAAACUCAAAGGAAUUGACGGGGGCCCGCACAAGCGGAGGAACAUGUGGUUUAAUUCGAUGAUACGCGAGGAACCUUACCCAGGCUCGAACGGCAGCUGAAUUGAGUAGAGAUAUUCAAGUCUUCGGACAGUUGUCGAGGUGCUGCAUGGUUGUCGUCAGCUCGUGCCGUGAGGUGUCGGCUUAAGUGCCAUAACGAGCGCAA